UGUAGGGAAAACUCUGGUAUGACCUCCUUAAAUCAGAUCGUAAACACCUUAUGUGGAACCUAGAUGUUACUCCAGCAAUUGACAAAGAAGAGAGAAUCAUGUUAGGGUUUGGUGUUAGAACUAGAGAGGGAGAGAAAAUUAGGGAGAAAAAAUCUUUAUUUACUCAAUCACAUUAUUAAAUCCUAAUACAACUUAUGUUUAUUUAUACAUAGUCA
RNAcentral lists this long non-coding RNA (215 nucleotides) under Elaeis guineensis (African oil palm). RNAcentral's name for it is "long non-coding RNA (EGUI_LNC047255)". The record is from RNAcentral. Lineage: Eukaryota; Viridiplantae; Streptophyta; Magnoliopsida; Arecales; Arecaceae.